RNAcentral lists this ribosomal RNA (433 nucleotides) under bacterium Ellin6091. RNAcentral's name for it is "bacterial SSU rRNA". It matches the Rfam family "Bacterial small subunit ribosomal RNA", at positions 32 to 491 of the family's 1533-position model. The record is from RNAcentral. Lineage: Bacteria; Pseudomonadati; Acidobacteriota; Terriglobia; Terriglobales; Acidobacteriaceae.
AAUCAACGCUGGCGGCGUGCCUAACACAUGCAAGUCGAACGAGAAAGUGGUAGCAAUACCAUGAGUAAAGUGGCGCACGGGUGAGUAACACGUGACUAACCUACCUUGGAGUUCGGAAUAACCUCGGGAAACCGGGGCUAAUACCGGAUAACACCUACGGGUCAAAGGAGCAAUUCGCUCUGAGAGGGGGUCGCGGCUGAUUAGCUAGUUGGCAGGGUAAUGGCCUACCAAGGCGACGAUCAGUAUCCGGCCUGAGAGGGCGCACGGACACACUGGAACUGAAACACGGUCCAGACUCCUACGGGAGGCAGCAGUGGGGAAUUUUGCACAAUGGGGGAAACCCUGAUGCAGCAACGCCGCGUGGAGGAUGAAGGUCUUUGGAUUGUAAACUCCUUUCGACCGGGACGAUAAUGACGGUACCGGGAGAAGAAGC